GGAACUGCAUAUGUAUAAAGGUGGAUUAAAAAAUCCAAGCUGCAAUGUCGACAUAAGAAAUAUACAACAGGAGUUCAAACCACAUAAUUGUCAUACAUCCAUAACAUUGAAACAUGUCCCAUAAAGCAAUGAAUGCUUAUCAAAACACAGUUGAAGUAGGUUAUAUUGUGAAAUAACAGUAAAUAUAGAGCAUAUAGAAUGUGUUAAGUAUCCUAGUUGGUGGAGUUCCUUUGACAGCAUUGGUUUGAAUGUAAGAAAUAGAUAAGCUUUGGCUUUAAUCAUAGGAAGAAAGAUAACAUGGACAGAUGUGGAAGGACGAGCACAUGGGAGCAUUAGGGAUCAUGCAUGUUGGGACACGGUCACCUUUAUAGGCAUGCAAUUUCAAAUAGCAAAAAGAGUAAGUGAAAAUGCAAUUAUGAAUUACUGUGUGACAAACUUACUUAUGGAGUCGUCAUCACUGAUGCUUGAUAGUACUCGCAAGAAGUCAUGUCCAGCAAUAAGAGUUUCCGCCAAAUAUGGAUUGUACUGAAACUGUUAUGACAUGGGCAAUUGUUAACUGAUAAGCUAUUUGUUACAUUAGCAUACAGUUAAAUGCUUGUCAGAUUAGCAUACAGUCAAUGAAACAUAUGUACAACGAGCUGUAAACAUGUAACAUUUCCCAUGUAUCACCAUCUAAAUGCUUGCACUUAACUUCAUUUUAUUACUUGCUGCAAUUUCACUUUUCCUGUUUGUACUUUCCACACAUGUUCAUCGUACAACUUACUAACUUCCCCUUUCCUGUUGAAUUGCCAGACAUACAUUCAAUUUUUAUUACAUUAACUUAAAAACAUACAAAACAUCUAAACUAAUUAGUCCCAUUGUUAUUAUACAAGCACAAGAAAUUAUGAUAUCAUUUUCAAAAAUUCUGUGUGAUUCACAUCUGACUUGUCACUUCGUAGAUGCUUCUACAAAGUUGCAGCUGAAGGCAUAGUCAGCCAGAAGAUAAAGAAAAGGAAAUAUGGCAGACACUUCUCCAAAGUUGCAGCCGAAGGCAUAGUCAGCCUGAAGAUAAAAGAAACGGAAAUAUGGCAAACACACAGAGCAAACCACAAGUUUCUCAUCAAUCAUACAGCUUUAAAUGGGUCAUGUUCAGCUGCUAGAGUAUAAUCCCUAAAUCAUUUUCAAUAUUUUUUUUCCCCUUUACUCCACUAUUUUCUACUUCUCUAUAGGAAAUCUGACUUCCCACCACAUUAUUCGCAGCAACAAUAUUGAACUCAAUUAUUUCAGGUUCAGCUGCCACUAGGUUGAAUUUCUGUUGGCGAAAUCCCUCUCUCUUACAAUUUCAAUACACGUGUUUAUUAACAUAAAAAUAAUAGUAAAAAACUCCUUUAUAUUACCACAUUAUUCAUAAAAUUUCCAGAAAUUUAAUUUAAAAAUUUACGCCCUGCACUCUCAUAUCUUGCCAUUAUCCAUAUGAAAUCUAAUUUCACACCAAUGAAAUCUAAUUUCGCACCAACUAUAUUAUCAGCUACAAAUGAUUCACGUUACAAAUCUCACAUUAAAAUUUCACUAACCUUAAUGAUGGUUUACACAAUCCUUUCCAUUUCUUCAAUACGACCACAACAAAUCCACAAGUCACCACAAUCGUCUUCGAAAAUUUAAUCCGGCGUCGCUACUGCAGCUGUAGUCACACACAAUUAUGAAACUGGUGGUUGCUUUAGGGAAAUCGCUCACGUCAGGCCAAAUACGGUUAAGGAUUUGCAGAACCCUAAAACUAAUCUUGUACCUCAAAUGGGUUUGGGCAAUUGCCCGCUUCACAUCAUUGUUCGUGACUAAAAUCGCAACCGUUGGAUAACACUCUUUAUAAUCUAACGG
RNAcentral lists this long non-coding RNA (1854 nucleotides) under Citrus sinensis (sweet orange). RNAcentral's name for it is "long non-coding RNA (CSIN_LNC001969)". Lineage: Eukaryota; Viridiplantae; Streptophyta; Magnoliopsida; Sapindales; Rutaceae. The record is from RNAcentral.